GCUCAGAUUGAACGCUGGCGGCAGGCCUAACACAUGCAAGUCGAGCGGCAGCGGGAAAGUAGCUUGCUACUUUUGCCGGCGAGCGGCGGACGGGUGAGUAAUGCCUGGGAAAUUGCCCAGUCGAGGGGGAUAACAGUUGGAAACGACUGCUAAUACCGCAUACGCCCUACGGGGGAAAGCAGGGGACCUUCGGGCCUUGCGCGAUUGGAUAUGCCCAGGUGGGAUUAGCUUGUUGGUGAGGUAAUGGCUCACCAAGGCGACGAUCCCUAGCUGGUCUGAGAGGAUGAUCAGCCACACUGGAACUGAGACACGGUCCAGACUCCUACGGGAGGCAGCAGUGGGGAAUAUUGCACAAUGGGGGAAACCCUGAUGCAGCCAUGCCGCGUGUGUGAAGAAGGCCUUCGGGUUGUAAAGCACUUUCAGCGAGGAGGAAAGGUUGGUAG
RNAcentral lists this ribosomal RNA (443 nucleotides) under Aeromonas media. RNAcentral describes it as "bacterial SSU rRNA". It matches the Rfam family "Bacterial small subunit ribosomal RNA", at positions 22 to 459 of the family's 1533-position model. The record is from RNAcentral. Lineage: Bacteria; Pseudomonadati; Pseudomonadota; Gammaproteobacteria; Aeromonadales; Aeromonadaceae.